This 1110-nucleotide long non-coding RNA is filed under the name Salmo salar (Atlantic salmon). RNAcentral's name for it is "lncRNA (ENSSSAG00000091678.1)". Lineage: Eukaryota; Metazoa; Chordata; Actinopteri; Salmoniformes; Salmonidae. The record is from RNAcentral.
ACAGCUUUCACACUGUCACACACUCCAUCACUCGGUCAGGAGAGUAGAAGCGUGACAGCACAUCCUCUGCCACCCACAGACACAAACAAAGGCCUGACAGGUCUUCACUGCAGCACACACACGCGAGCACACACACGCACCCUCUCGAUUUGUCUCCCAGCCUUCUCUGGUACAGAUGUGCUAUAACUCACUCACACACGCUAACGUUCAGCGAGCAUUGUUUGUUACAGGGAUGGUCUCAGGCACACACACACACACACACAUACAUACGCAUACACACUGCCCUGUUUUUCCACUCUCGCGUGUUAUUGGCAUCACUCACUCUGUGCAAGGUCUUUCCAUCGCUCCUUUUCCUCUCCUCUAUCUCUCCCCCUCUACCUCUUCCUCUCUUCUAUUUGGAACGGUGGGAGAAAGGUUGGAAAUGUGCAUGGCAUGGAACAAAUUUCCGUUUACUGGUACUUUCUCUCUCUUUCUCUCUCUCUCUUUCCUUCUCGCUCGCUCUCUUUUUAUAUCUCUCUCUCUCUCUUUCCUUCUCUCUCUCUCUCUCUCUCUCUUUUUAUUUCUCUCCCUCUAACUUUUUAUGUAUUCAGGGAGAACUAUGCAUACAGACAAUAUGGUUUCAUUCCAUUUGAUAUGAACACACUUCACCAAGCUUUUACAAAGCAGAUAUGUUCUAUAUUGGCAGGUUUCAAUACCAGGCUGAUAUAAUGGGAGGUUUUAAUACCAGGCUGGUAUAUUGGCAGGUUUCAAUACCAGGCUGAUAUAUUGGGAGGUUUCAAUACCAGGCUGAUAUAUUGGGAGGUUUUAAUACCAGGCUGAUAUAAUGGGAGGUUUCAAUACCAGGCUGGUAUAAUGGGAGGUUUCAAUACCAGGCUGAUAUAUUGGCAGGUUUCAAUACCAGGCUGAUAUAUUGGGAGGUUUCAAUACCAGGCUGAUAUAUUGGGAGGUUUCAAUACCAGGCUGAUAUAUUGGCAGGUUUCAAUACCAGGCUGGUGUAAUGGGAGGUUUCAAUACCAGGCUGGUAUAUUGGGAGGUUUUAAUACCAGGCUGGUAUAUUUGGAGGUUUUAAUACCAGGCUGAUAUAAUGGGAGGUUUUAAUACCAGGCUGAU